GUUUACUUUAGUCGUCUAGGCAACCGAAGAAGCAGCUGGAUCGCGCCGGAUGAAUCUGGUAUAAACUCGGAAUGGUUUCGACGGCAUCUACGCGAAAAUUGCAGGGACACACCAAACUGACUGUCAGCCAUCAGGUCACCCUACAUGCUGAAUCUGCGUCACAGUCAUCCUACUUGUUUAAUUUAAACUAGCAGUUAAGCAGCGGAUGAUAUAGAUCUGCAGAAGAUGAUUGGUUGAUGAACACAGGUAAACAGAUGAUGACGACAACAGAUAACCACACAUUCAGGUCAUCCUACCUCUUCAAAUUUUACUACUAGGACAAUCUAAAGCAUUUUGUACAGUCAGGUAAUCCUACCCACUCUGUGGGUGGUACUAUAAUCCCUCCUUUCCUUAUAUACCUAGGGUCUUACUAAACUGGGUGAAUGGUUAUAGUAGGACAAAUAUUGCAGUGCGUAUAUAAUUCUAUUGUCUGUAUUGUAACAUAUUGUGUAGAUAAUUUGCCGUAUUAAAAAAAUAAAGUUGUCCUCCGAAGAGGGGGGGUGGUGGCAGGCCAAAAAAAGUAGGAUAAUCUGAAAGAAUUUUGCACUUUCAGGUCAUCCUACUUGUUUAAUUUAUACUAGUACGGCAAGCGAAAGCAUUUUGCACUUUCAGGUCGUCCUCCAUGUUUAAUUUAUACUAGUUGGACAAUCUGACAGCAUUUGGUACAGUCAUGUUAUCUUCCCUGUUUAAUUUAUACUAGUAGGACAACCUGACAGCAUUUUGUACAGUCAGGACAUCCUACCCAUUUAAUUUAUACUAGUAGGACAAUCUGACAGCA
Misgurnus anguillicaudatus (oriental weatherfish) is the source of this 817-nucleotide non-coding RNA. The record is from RefSeq and is a predicted model, not a curated record. NCBI's taxonomy places the organism in Eukaryota, Metazoa, Chordata, Actinopteri, Cypriniformes, Cobitidae.